This 320-nucleotide long non-coding RNA is filed under the name Mus musculus (house mouse). Its description in RNAcentral is "long non-coding RNA chr7:85821938-85822258". Lineage: Eukaryota; Metazoa; Chordata; Mammalia; Rodentia; Muridae. The record is from RNAcentral.
ACAUGGAUCAGUGUUUGCAGUGUUCAGAGGAUCAGUAUACCAACAGAUAUCAAACACACUUUCUUAAAAUAGUUGUGCCCCUUUUUGUUCAUGAUGACCCCUUGGUCAUGGCACUUACUGACUUGGCCCUGUGCUUCUCGGCUCUUACAACUGUUGUAUGCAUGUCUUCUUGAAACACAGAGACUCCCAUAGUCAAGGCUAAUAAUGAAACUGUCAGUUAUAUCUUACUCAUCUCCCUCAUAUUUUGUUUUAUAUGUUUCUUGCUGUAAAUUGGUCAUCACACUAUGACCAAUUGCAUCCUGCAGCAGAAAACACUCUGC